AUCAAUGCAUCCAUUAACCAAUCAUCUUUUCAAGUCAUUUGUACGUUUAUUUGAAAUUAUAUAGACUAUUUUACUAAAAAGUAAUCCUUUUUUUGCAGAUUAUUACUCAAAAAUUCUAUAAUUUUGAAUAAAUGAUUAUUCAAGUUCAAGUUCACUUCUGAGAACUGAAGUAAUAAAUGCAUUAUAAAUGCAUUUUUUUAACAGAUAUUCCAAAUUGUUUUAACAAAUAUAAAUAAGGAUAAUGGAAAUGACGAUAGUGAAGGUAAUAAUAAUUCAAAUUCGUAACAAACGCUCGAUAAAUUUUAUUUUUCCAUGUAUCACGUGACAUGAUCGGAAUUAUCCAACUAAAUAAUAUACAGCAAUUUGCAAUGGUUGUGUUUUCGUGUGCAUAUGAGUUAGAAUAUUAGAAAAAACGUAUUAUUAAAUGUCUUAUGUAAAACUCUCGAGUAUAAGAGAAUAUCUCGACAUAGUAGGUCUUCGCCGCAAGCCAAUUAAAAGGUUGCGCUAUUAAGGCACUCUAUGCCAGGAAUAUGUUUAAGGUGCACGAACGGUACAAACAGGAUCCAUGAAAUAUAUAAUAUAUAAUAUGUUUUAUAUAUAGAUAUCUCUAUAAAAGAAAUGAAAAUACAUCAUGUAUGACAAAUGGUAAAUAAAUGUACGUACAUAUACAGAUUUGUGAUUUAAGAGAAAUUAAAACUAGAUAUAUCCUAAAAAAUAAUUGGACGGCGGUCUAAUGUAUAUUUUAAUAGUGAUUCAUUUUUAAUUAAUUAUUCUGAAUGACGAAGGGGAAUGUAUGCGAAAAUUUUUAAAACUACUAUAGUAAAUUAACAAUAAUGUUAACAAAAUUUACAUCAAUUUUCUGUAAUUUUUCUAUUAUUUUCUUGUCUCUUUUAACAAUAUGUAUUUCUAGAAUAUUUUAUUUAUAUAUAAAAAUCUUUUACAAAAUUUAAAAGAUAAAAGGGUCGUUAAAUUUAAAACGAAAUAACGUAAAUGCUCUACGAUUGUACUUGUUAGAAACGGCGUCAUCGAUAUUAUCUCUCAUUGACUUUCAUAGUCUGAUUUCACUAUUCGUAGUAGCACAGUGGGCGUAUUUGAAGCUUUUUGUUUUCAUUUCAAUAAAAGAAUUCUUUGCUCGUUUGAAAAACCUUGGAUACCAUAUUUUUCUUUAUUCGAGUCGAGUGCCUUAUUCGCUUAAAAAUAUCUAUACAUUCGAUCUAGACAAUAUACACAACA
Molecule: long non-coding RNA, 1233 nt
Organism: Apis dorsata (giant honeybee)
Lineage: Eukaryota; Metazoa; Arthropoda; Insecta; Hymenoptera; Apidae
Exons: 2
Source: RefSeq, a predicted model, not a curated record